AUUGAACGCUGGCGGCAGGCCUAACACAUGCAAGUCGAGCGGAUGACGGGAGCUUGCUCCUUGAUUCAGCGGCGGACGGGUGAGUAAUGCCUAGGAAUCUGCCUGGUAGUGGGGGACAACGUUUCGAAAGGAACGCUAAUACCGCAUACGUCCUACGGGAGAAAGCAGGGGGCCUUCGGGCCUUGCGCUAUCAGAUGAGCCUAGGUCGGAUUAGCUUGUUGGUGAGGUAAUGGCUCACCAAGGCGACGAUCCGUAACUGGUCUGAGAGGAGGAUCAGUCACACUGGAACUGAGACACGGUCCAGACUCCUACGGGAGGCAGCAGUGGGGAAUAUUGGACAAUGGGCGAAAGCCUGAUCCAGCCAUGCCGCGUGUGUGAAGAAGGUCUUCGGAUUGUAAAGCACUUUAAGUUGGGAGGAAGGGUUGUAGAUUAAUACUCUGCAAUUUUGACGUUACCGACAGAAUAAGCACCGGCUAACUCUGUGCCAGCCGCCGCAGUAA
This 500-nucleotide ribosomal RNA is filed under the name uncultured bacterium. Its description in RNAcentral is "partial 16S ribosomal RNA". It matches the Rfam family "Bacterial small subunit ribosomal RNA", at positions 30 to 523 of the family's 1533-position model. The record is from RNAcentral.